CGCUGGCGGCGUGCCUAACACAUGCAAGUCGAGCGGCAGCGAGGGGUGCUUGCACCCUGUCGGCGAGCGGCGGACGGCUGAGUAACGCGUGGGAACGUGCCCCAAAGUGAGGAAUAACUGCCCGAAAGGGUAGCUAAUACCGCAUAUUAUCUUCGGAUCAAAGGAUUUAUCCGCUUUGGGAGCGGCUCGCGUCGGAUUAGGUAGUUGGUGAGGUAAUGGCUCACCAAGCCGACGAUCCGUAGCUGGUCUGAGAGGAUGACCAGCCAGACUGGAACUGAGACACGGUCCAGACUCCUACGGGAGGCAGCAGUGAGGAAUCUUCCACAAUGGGCGAAAGCCUGAUGGAGCAACGCCGCGUGCAGGACGAAGGCCUUCGGGUUGUAAACUGCUUUUAUAAGUGAGGAAUAUGACGGUAACUUAUGAAUAAGGAUCGGCUAACUACGUG
This 445-nucleotide ribosomal RNA is filed under the name uncultured bacterium. RNAcentral describes it as "partial 16S ribosomal RNA". It matches the Rfam family "Bacterial small subunit ribosomal RNA", at positions 34 to 507 of the family's 1533-position model. The record is from RNAcentral.